This 458-nucleotide ribosomal RNA is filed under the name uncultured bacterium. Its description in RNAcentral is "partial 16S ribosomal RNA". It matches the Rfam family "Bacterial small subunit ribosomal RNA", at positions 339 to 795 of the family's 1533-position model. The record is from RNAcentral.
CUACGGGAUGCAGCAGUCGAGAAUCUUCGGCAAUGGACGAAAGUCUGACCGAGCGACGCCGCGUGCGGGAAGAAGGCCCUCGGGUUGUAAACCGCUGUUAGGAGGUAGCAAUAAGCGAUAGUGUAUAUCGUGAUGAGUUAAACUCCAGAGAAAGUCACAGCUAAUUACGGCCAGCAGCUGCGGUAAUACGUAAGUGGCGAACGUUACUCGGAAUCACUGGGCUUAAAGGGGGUGUAGGCGGACAGGUAAGUUGGUGUUGAAAUCCCUCGGCUUAACCGAGGAAUUGGCACCAAAACUAUUUGUCUUGAGGAUAGCAGGGGGGUGUGGAACUUCUGGUGGAGCGGUGAAAUGCGUAGAUAUCAGAAGGAACACCGGUGGCGAAGGCGAUGCCCUGGGCUAUUUCUGACGCUGAGGCCCGAAAGCGUGGGGAGCAAACAGGAUUAGAUACCCCCGUAGUC